Molecule: ribosomal RNA, 483 nt
Filed under: uncultured bacterium
Lineage: Bacteria
Description: partial 16S ribosomal RNA
Rfam family: Bacterial small subunit ribosomal RNA
Source: RNAcentral
GUUGAACGCUGGCGGCAUGCUUUACACAUGCAAGUCGAACGGCAGCGCGGGCUUCGGCCUGGCGGCGAGUGGCGAACGGGUGAGUAAUACAUCGGAACGUGCCCAGUAGUGGGGGAUAGCUCGGCGAAAGCCGGAUUAAUACCGCAUACGACCUGAGGGUGAAAGCGGGGGAUCUUCGGACCUCGCGCUAUUGGAGCGGCCGAUGGCAGAUUAGCUAGUUGGUGGGGUAAAGGCCUACCAAGGCGACGAUCUGUAGCUGGUCUGAGAGGACGACCAGCCACACUGGGACUGAGACACGGCCCAGACUCCUACGGGAGGCAGCAGUGGGGAAUUUUGGACAAUGGGCGAAAGCCUGAUCCAGCAAUGCCGCGUGUGUGAUGAAGGCCUUCGGGUUGUAAAGCACUUUUAGCGGGAACGAAAAGGACUGUGCCAAUACCACGGUUCGAUGACGGUACCCGCAGAAUAAGCACCGGCUAACUACGU